This 353-nucleotide ribosomal RNA is filed under the name uncultured bacterium. RNAcentral's name for it is "partial 16S ribosomal RNA". It matches the Rfam family "Bacterial small subunit ribosomal RNA", at positions 338 to 683 of the family's 1533-position model. The record is from RNAcentral.
CCUACGGGAGGCAGCAGUGGGGAAUAUUGCGCAAUGGGCGAAAGCCUGACGCAGCGACGCCGCGUGAGGGAUGAAGGUCUUCGGAUCGUAAACCUCUGUCAGCCGGGAAGAACGGUCACUGUGCUAAUCAGCAGUGAAUUGACGGUACCUGCAAAGGAAGCACCGGCUAACUCCGUACCAGCAGCCGCGGUAAUACGGGGGGUGCGAGCGUUAAUCGGAAUUACUGGGCGUAAAGCGCUCGUAGGCGGUAUGUCAAGUCAAGGGUGAAAUCCCCGCGCUCAACGUGGGAACUGCCUUUGAAAAGGGCAAACUGGAGUGUGUGAGAGGAUAGGGGAAUUCCAGGUGGAGGAGUG